Athene cunicularia (burrowing owl) is the source of this 2536-nucleotide long non-coding RNA. RefSeq lists it as uncharacterized. Lineage: Eukaryota; Metazoa; Chordata; Aves; Strigiformes; Strigidae. The record is from RefSeq and is a predicted model, not a curated record. The transcript is spliced from 3 exons.
GACCUCUCUUCACACCUGGCUCAGGCAGUCUCCUGGGAAAGAAGCCACGGUAUGGAUGAGGCAGCUAGUGAACGGUCUCAUCUGCCAUGAGAUGCUGACAGGCCCAAAGACCAAGCGGUGUUGUUUCAGGAGAUACAGGCUGUCCUAGUAAUGAUUCCCUGCUCUUCCUUAUCUCACCUACUCAUCAUGUACCUUUUCCUAAAUGCAAGGGAGUACCUUUUGUGCUUUGCACAUUCGGCUCUAGGAACCUGGGCACCUCACUGAUACUAUUCUCAGUAGGAAUCUUCAGGGAGGACGAACAGCAUAUAUUUGGACAUCUGAGAUUUGGUUGUUGACAGUGGCAUGAAGUUUCAUUUAAAUUGCUGAGGUUGGAAGAGCGUCUUUGCAAGCUAGCUGAAUCUCAGUCCUGUUUGAAGUGGGUGUCUGGAUUCUUACGGACUUCAUUGGAACCAGGUUUUCCACAGUGAGGUUGGUAUACACAGUAAUUCUCAAGCACUGACACUUGCGGCAACUCAUGAUGGUUGAUGAAGACUUACCUUCAGCUUUGGGAUAUGCAGUGCUAACAAUGUCUGUGCAGUCUCAGAGCCGCAACAGCACAAAACGGAAUUCAGACAGCACCUUGGCUCCCUGGUGCUCCUAAAAUUGCAGGGCAGCGUAAUAAGUACAUAAUUGAAAAGCUUUUUGAUAGUAGAAGACCAACUACUUUUCUUCAGCGCACAUUAACAUUAAUCAGUUGUCUAGGUCUGGAUCAAUCUAUAGAACUGAAAUUACAGGGACGUUAGGAAGGCAAAUAAUAUUUAUUACACAAGUGCCUAAGGCUGAGAAAGUAUGGAGCUCCCCCCAACAUGACACUGUACUCCCUGCUCCAAAAAAGCUCAGAGCUGGAUAAAAGCAGCUUAAUGUUUCUGUAAAAGUGAGGGUUGCAAUUUGAUAGCAAGCGUGUGGGUUAUGUAGUACUUUGGUGCUGUAAGACUAGCUAUGAGAGUACAAAUGCAGAGAAAAGAGAAAGAGGUAGAAAUACUGAAAAGAGGAUUGUUGGCGUAGCAGUAACAGGAGAGAAAUGAAGCCGAUGUAAAAGAGAUUUUGAGCACAGGGACUGGAGCAAACAACCAGUGAACGUGGGUGAAAGUCAAACCAGAACUGCAGAAUGGCUCUGGGGGUGGUUGUCACUCCUGCCUUGGCAGCUGCUCUCAUGGCUUGCUUUUUCCCUGAGACCUGGUUCCCCCGGAAAUGGGGACUGCUGUCAUUUUAGAUGUGAGCCAGAACAUCUAUAGUUCUUUUUUUUUUUUCUCUUUCUGAACUUCCUUUUUAAGCAGACUUGAGUGAAACACACAGCAUACACAGAGGAAUGUUUGCAGUAAUGUGUUGAAAAUAUUGGCCCAGAUCUUCAAGUUUAGGAAUGAAAGCUAGGUAUCCACAAGCUAAAUUAGAGCAACUCUAAUGCUAGUUUUAAAUGAAAUCUGGCUGCUCAUAGCCUCAUUGAUCACGCGUGACAUAAAAAUAGAGAUGUUUUGAUGCCUGCCCCUUUGUUUCUUCACUACACAAGCUCUAGUCCACCUCGGGAUUUGUCCUCUGCUGAGGGAGUUCUCCAGUAACACAUUUAGCUGUCUAUUUGUUUCUUCCAUCUGCUCCUAUCUGCUAGAGCAGGGAUCAGAAUUUGUCUUGAGGAAUUCCCAUUUUCUUUUUAUAGCUUCACACUGAUUCACCAUGGGCAGGGGUUCAGGUACAAGGAAUGUUGCAGGCUGUGAACUAUAUCCUGCUCAGCUGUACACCUACAGUUUCCACCCAUUUGUAAAAAAAGACUGACAAGCAUCCAAGAGAAUAAUUUGAUCUUGUUCCUGUUAUUAGACCUGCAUGACUUGAUAUUGCUCAAGAAGUAGUUUUCUAGCUUUUGGAAGCCUGCUAUUAUCAUUAGAAGACUCUGUUACUCUUUGUAGGAAGAUGUAGGCUUUUGAUGAAGAAUAAUUCUCCUCUCCAUUUCCUCAAGCCUACUGUUUCUCUUCCAGUUAUGUCCAAACAUGGCAGCUGGGACAAAAAAGACCAUCUCUUUUCUUUGUACAGACAGGUAAUUUGUAGCUGCAUUCUGUCCAAGAUUCUGAAUAAACCAAAAAGUGUGGGAUUUUUUUUGACCUGUUUCUUUGAUCCAUACAAUUUCUGUCCCCUGAAAGGAAAUAAACCAAUGCCCAAUCCUGAAAAAAAAACCCAGUAAAGAACAAUAUAUUAUUUUAAUGCAUUUUUUAAAAAGGUAUACUUACUUAGAAACUUUAGGCAUAGCUGAUCCAGCUGGGGGUAGAAGAAUGCAGUGGAUGAGCCCAUCUCAGUGUCCCUUCCACUUAUGUUUUCUAUGGUAAUAUGAUUGGGAAGAGGAUAAUUAUCAGCAAUAUUCAGUGUGAACACAGGAGCAGAUUUGGAGCGCUGCCUGAUUACAAAGUAUUUGUCUAACACUCAUCGUCAUUAUAUGAGAAUGCUUUAAUUAGCAUUGAAAACAUUUAGUUACAUAGACCAUCUAUGGCAAAAAUAGACUGUGCGCCUCAUG